This 253-nucleotide ribosomal RNA is filed under the name uncultured bacterium. RNAcentral's name for it is "partial 16S ribosomal RNA". It matches the Rfam family "Bacterial small subunit ribosomal RNA", at positions 524 to 776 of the family's 1533-position model. The record is from RNAcentral.
GACAGAGGGGGCGAGCGUUGUCCGGAGUCACUGGGCGUAAAGCGCGCGCAGGCGGCAACCUUAGUGUCGUGUGAAAGCCCCCGGCUCAACCGGGGGAGGCCAUGGCAAACUGGGUCGCUCGAGCUGCGGAGAGGCCCCUCGAAUUGCCGGUGUAGCGGUGAAAUGCGUAGAGAUCGGCUGGAAGACCAAGGGGGAAGCCAGGGGGCUGGCCGCAGGCUGACGAUGAGGCGCGACAGCGUGGGGAGCAAACCGG